Dreissena polymorpha is the source of this 6021-nucleotide RNA transcript. It is a transcript of the gene named DNA repair-scaffolding protein-like, with no coding region annotated. NCBI's taxonomy places the organism in Eukaryota, Metazoa, Mollusca, Bivalvia, Myida, Dreissenidae. The record is from RefSeq and is a predicted model, not a curated record. The transcript has 20 exons.
AAUUCAGAUAGUUAUGGGUCUUUGGAUCUAUUUGAAAUUUAUUGACACUUGGCGGGAAAUAUAAUACACAAAUACUUCGGAAAUAUACACGUUCAAUGUUUUUAAUCUUGUACAUUAACCCAAAAUAAGUAACUUAUUAAAAGUGCAUUUUUAUUUUAAAAAAGACAGUAUUUGAAAAUAUUCUAUCAAUAUUGAAAUACCAGAUCGCGGAAAUUGGUGACACAAUUUGGAAGCGACUCUGGUUUUGCUGUGAAAAGUGGUAAAAGUCCUGGAUUUAGAAUAAAACAGGAUGUCAAAAGGAGACAGCAAGCCAAAGACAUCAGAUUGGACGCGGUGCUUCGAAGGAAUAGCAGAUCUCAGUGGGACUAUAGCUGGGUCUUCCAAAGCAGCUGCUGUAAAGAGGAAAUCUGCAGAUAACUUCGGAUUUGGUCAUGGAAACAUUUUUGAGAAGCUGGGACUGGCAGGGAACGAGGAUGCUACAAGUCAAUCGAUUGUUUGGAGUUCAAGUGAAAGUGAUGGAGAAGCAGAGAAGACAGGCUCAGCAGUAACACCAGUGGUAAAGAAACAGCGAAGGGGGUGGGGUCGCACCUCCCCCAAAAAACCAGCCAGAACCAGCUUGAAAUCAAAAGCUUCCACUGCGGCAGAUGCUGUGGAGAUACUUACUGUGUCUGAUGAUGAAACGACUAAACAAUCCAGCAUCACAGCAGGGAAAACAAAUGAAACUAAAGCCUAUGGAGAGGAGAUUUCGAUUGCUGGCUUUGAAUCCGGUUCAGAAGAGGUUGAACCAUGCAAAAACCAAGAAGUAAAGACAAUAGUAUCUCAAGGAGACAGUCAGCCCUGCAUUUUGAGCAUGGACUCCCUGAGUCCCCCUCCCACGGGUGCGGCCCCUCCCACAGGCGUGGGCAGGAAGGCCAGUGAUUGGUUCAAGUCCUUACAGCUGAAGACCCCAAGCAAGUCAGAGCAGGGACCGCAGGACGAUGGGGCACCAGACUCGGCAAAGAAGAAGAAGAAAAACAAGAAGGGUGGUCUAGCAGAGCAGAUGUUGCGGCUCCAGGCUCGAGAUCGGUCUUCUGUCCGUAUGUGGGCUCACAAGCAGAACAAGCCCUCUGCAUCCCAAGAUUGCAAGUCCAGCACGCUGACGGUGCUCAGUGUAGAGUCACUGUACUCUAUGCAGCUGGUGCGAUGUUCCGUGUCAGUGUCCACAAGUGGGGCCGGAGAUCUGGUUCCCGCGUCAGGCACCGAAGACUUGGCCAGCAGCUCACGACUGGUUCUGUUUACUGGGAACCAGGCAGAGCAACUGAACCUCCAGACUGGAACUCAAUUCAAGAUCUUUCCACCUUGGCAGCAACUGGAGCUGAAUGGAGGCCAGAUGGUGUUGCUGUGCACCAAGUACUGUCUGCUGCAGUCAGGUCCCUCCCCCAGGGAUGAGAGGCAGGCCACACACCCCUUAGAGAAAUAUGGGAGCCCUGUUCGGGCUUCCUGGAACUGUCCGUGUGUGCAAGGACUGUGCCGCAGUAUGUCCCUGUGUCCGGCCAGCAAGUUCCCUGCCGUGGCUGGACAUCUGCAGGAAUCCACUACCACUAUUGACAACCAAAAGCAAGAGAUCCCUACAGAUCUCAGUAAGGGCCCCUCGCCACGAAAGCCAUCCCAUCUUCAGACCGUCUCUCCUAGCAAACCCAUCCGGACAUUGUCGUGCGGGGGCGUGGUUGAAGAAGACACUUGUGACUCCAUUUUGAAGAGUAUUCAAGGGAGAAAACUCAUCGGUGUUGAGCCAGGGAACACCACUUUGGUUCACAACUUGAAGUUUACUGCUCACGUUCAUAGACAUAUUGUGCAAUGUAAGAAGGAUGACAUGACAAGCUACAUACUGGUAGUGGAGGACAAUGAGGGCCAUGUGGGUGUGGUCAGGCUACCCCUGGGGAUGUACACCCCCAUCCUGGGGCUUGAGGGAUGCGAGGGACGCACCCUGCGCUUUGAAGGGCUCUCUGUUACAGACAGGGUUACACGCGACAGGGAUGAAGCCCUGUUCUCGAUGGUAGACCAGGUGUGGUCAGGGAAGGUCUCAGACCCGAGUCAGGACAGCUCAUUCUCCCAGGAACAGCCACAUCAAGUAUCCAAUGGCAAGCAGGACUUCUGCUAUAUCAUGUCUGCAGGCCCCGAUGGCCCACCCAGUAUUCAUGUCCUACAAUCCUCCAUUAUACCAGCCAGCCAGCAGAGUGAUGUGCCCCUGAAUACUCUUCUCAUCAAUCAGGUUGACCCUGUCAGAUGCAGUGUCAUUGCACGCCUCAUUUACAUACAUAAACAGAGCGAUGCUACCCAGCCAUGCCUGGUCUACAUCACAGACCCCAGCAUACAGAAGUCCUGCCCCUAUGUCACAGUGCCCCUCAGUAGGGAGAUCAGCCUUCCUGACGAGUUAACCAUGGCAAAGGGAAAGACCGCCAUCUUGCUCAGGGAUGUACUGGUGUCACAAGGUGGUCCACAAAUCGACGGCUACACUCUGUUGAAACUGCUCACGCCUUCCAGUGUUGUCUCUGACCGCCCACGCAGACAGCUGGUGGCCAAACUGCGGGCCAUGCAGGUGCCUUUGAAACCACUCAGCCACGACCUUGUGGUCAACGAUCUCUGUCAACUUGAAGGUGUUAUCAGUGAGGUGGAUGAGGAUUCUGCGUACAGUUGGGAGGCGUGUGUCCACUGCGGAGGUGAUCAGCUGAAAACUGACUCGAACAUCAGUGGAUUUGUGUGUUCUUCUUGCACAAAGACCAUGACUGAAGGGGUGACUAGGAUGAAGAUGGAGGUGAUGGUUGUGUGUGACGUCUCAAAGUGUAAAGCAAAGAUAGAUUUACUGCAGAGGACCAUAGAGAAGCUGCUACCAGCCGAGGAGGGGGAUGAGGAAGGCUAUGAGUUGUCAAGUGUCCUAAACAAGAGUGUCGGACCGCUACACUGCAUGGUCAGCAACAAGACAAGUGAUCUUGUCACCCUCCGGGAAAUAGACAUGCUCACCUGAUCUUGGAAAUAGACACGCUAACAUGAUCUGGGAAAUAGACAAGCUCAAUUGAUCUUUGGGAAAUAGACAUGGUCACCUGAUCUGGGAAAUAGACACGCUCACCUGAUCUGGGAAAUAGACACGCUCACCUGAUCUGGGAAAUAGACAUGCUUACCUGACUUGGGAUAAAGCUAUGCUUACCUGAUCUGGGCAAUAUACAUGCUCACCUGAUCUGGGAAAUAGACAAGCUCAAUUGGUCUCUGAAAAAUAGACAUGCUCACCUGAUCUGGGAAAUAGACAUGAUCACCUGAUCUGGGAAAUAGACACACUCACAUGAUCUAGGGGAAAUAGCUAUGCUUACCUGAGCUGGGAAAUAGACAUGCUCAUCUGAUCUGGGAAAUAUACACAUUCACCUAGUCUGAGAAAUAGACAAACAUGAUGAUGAUAUUCCGGCUUUUGGUGUGGGUGUACUGUUUUUAGCUCACCUGUCAUGAAGUGACAUGGUGAGCUUAUGUGACCGUGUGAUGUCCGGCGUUCGUAUGUGCGUGUGUGCGUGCGUGGGUGUGUCCGUCAACAAUUUGUUUGUGUAGACAGUAGAGGUAAAAGUUUUCAUCCAAUCUAUAUGAAAUUUGGUCAGAAUGUUUAUCUUGAUAAAAUCUGGGUCGGGAUUGUAUUUGGGUCAUCUGGGGUCAAAAACUAGGUCACUAGGUCAAAAACUAGGUCACAUAAUAGGUCAAAUAAUAGAAAAAACUUGUGCAGACAAUAGAGGUCGCAGUUUUCUUCCAAUCUUUAUGAAAUUUGGUCAGAAUGUUUAUCUUGAUGAAAUCUGGGUUGGGAUUGUAUUUGGGUCAUCUGGGGUCAAAAACUAGGUCACUAGGUCAAAAACUAGGUCAAAUAAUAGAAAAACCUUGUGUAGACAGUUGAGGUCACAGUUUACAUCCAAUCUUUAUGAAAUUUGGUCAGAAUGUUUAUCUUGAUGAAAUCUAGGUUGGGAUUGUAUUUGGGUCAUCUGGGGUCAAAAACUAGGUCACUAGGUCAAAAACUAGGUCAAAUAGUAGAGAAACAUUGUUUAGACAGUAGAGGUCACAGUUUUCAUCCAAUCUUUAUGAAAUUUGGUCAGAAUGUUUAUCUUGAUAAAAUCUGAGUUGGGAUUGUAUUUGGGUCAUCUGGGGGUCAAAAACUAGGUCACUAGGUCAAAAACUAGGUCAAAUAAUAGAAAAACCUUGUGUAGACAAUAGAGGUUGCAGUUUUCAUCCAAUCUUUACGAAAUUUGGUCAGAAUGUUUAUCUUGAUGAAAUCUGGGUUGGGAUUGUAUUUGGGUCAUCUGAGGUCAUAAACUAGGUCACUAGGUCAAAUAAUAGAAAAAACGUCAACAAUUUGUGUAGACAGUAGAGGUCACAGUUUUUAUCCAAUCUUUAUGAAAUUUGGUCAGAAUGUUUAUCUUGAUGAAAUCUGGGUUGGAUUGAGUUUGGGUCAUCUGGGGUCAAAAACUAGGUCAUUAGGUCAAAAACUAGGUCACAAGGUCAAAUAAUAGAAAAACCUUGUGUAGACAAUAGAGGUAACAGUUUUCAUCCAAUCUUUAUAAAAUUUGAUCAGAAUGUUUAUCUUGAUGAAAUCUGGGUUGGGAUUGUAUUUGGGUCACCUGGGGUCAAAAACUAGGUCACUAGGUCAAAUAAUAGAAAAACCUUGUAUAGACAAUAGAGGUCACAGUUUUCAUCCAAUCUUUAUGAAAUUUGGUCAGAAUGUUUAUCUUGAUGAAAUCUGGGUUGGGAUUGUAUUUGGGUCAUCUGGGGUCAAUAACUAGGUCACAAGGUCAAAUAAUAGAUAAACCUUGUGUAGACAAUAGAGGUAACAGUUUUCAUCCAAUCUUUAUAAAAUUUUAUCAGAAUGUUUAUCUUGAUGAAAUCUGGGUUGGGAUUGUAUUUGGGUCACCUGGGGUCAAAAACUAGGUCAAAUAAUAGAAAAACCUUGUGUAGACAAUAGAGGUCACAGUUUUCAUCUAAUCUUUAUAAAAUUUGGUCAGAAUGUUUAUCUUGAUGAAAUCUGGGUUGGGAUUGUAUUUGGUUAGUCAGGUGAGCGAUUCAGGGCCAUCAUGGCCCUCUUUUUUAUGAAUAUUUUUGCUUUUGUUUCUGAACUGUUAAUUUGUAUAAGUACCAAUUAAAUGUGCACAUAUGGUAGUUGUUGGAAUUGUUAUGGACACAAAUCUCACCUCCAAUUUAAAUUCACAUUUAUGAAAAGAAGUGCCAUCUUUCUCUGAUUCUUCUUUUAAUAGAGCGAUUUAGAUUUUAAAAUUAAAUGUUGCAGUACUCUGAUAUGAAAAUCCUUGUUCAAUGAGUAAUCAACAACCAUGCUGUCAUAAAUGCAUGUAUGUAUGAAUAUAUACACAAAAUUAGUCUUGCUUGAUCAAUAUUUAUGUCCAAAAGAAUGAAUUUUGUACAAAAAUGUUUUAAAAAAAAAUAGAAAAGAAAGAUUGUGAGUUAUUAUUUUCAAAUGUCUGUCAAUAUUGUAAUUGUGCAGUGAUCUUUUAUUUAACUUUGAUUUCAUAAGCAGAAUACAAUGACAAAAGGAAAUAUGCAGAGAGAGAACGGAAAUUCAAAUAUUGGAGUAUUUUAAAACUUUUAAUAUGAAUAGAUUUUUGCAGCAAUAAAAACAAAAACAUAUCUAUUUUCUAUCCGUAUUCCUACUGUAGUAUGACCAUGAAUUAUUUCUGUAGUUUACAUACUUAAGGUAGCAUGCCAUUUUGAGCUUGUAUUUAAUACUAACAUUUUUCACAAAAUGAAUUGCAAUUAUGUUUGGUAUUAGUUAAGUAAUCUUUUAAGUAGUGAGUUUUGUCUCUCAUUAAUAUGAAUUUACUUGGAUUUUAAAUGUCAAUGUUAAUGCAAACAUGUGUUGUAUCUAUUGCUCUGCCUAUUAGUGUGUUUGUUUAGAAUUCUGUUUCAUGAUCAUGAUUAAGUAACCUAGUGUUUGGCAUCUACAUAAUAUUUGCAUGCCUCUAGACUUAAUGAACAUUAUACUGGUUUAAAAUUUCAUAAAACAUC